GAUCCGUAGUUGGUAACUUCCCUAAUGGCGCUGCUAUCCUGUUCGUGUCACUGGGCCAAGGAUUGUGGUGUCGGGUUUGACGGCCAUGUUCUUCAUAGUGUUCCUCAUCUUAUGUGGCAGAGUAGUGAUGGGUAUGACUGUCUUACUACUCUCCCAUCCUCCUCAUCAUUAUCUUGUUGGGCUCAGUGUACACGUACUUUAAAAUUUCAUUUACUUAGUUGAUCUGUUAAAUUUAUUCAGAGGUAAGGUUGAGUUACCUAGUUCUGGUAAAUUAUAAUACAGACGAUGAACUCAUAUAUUUUGUUGUUGUUCAUGUAAGGAUCAUUUAGGAUAUGAAUUAUAGAGUUAUUUAACUUUUCAUUGGUGUGCCUUGCAUUAUUUUAAUGAAUUGAACUUAUAUUACUUUUUCUGUUGACAUUCUGCCAACUUUGAUUAUUGUCUCUUCAACUCAUCCGUAUCAAUUAUACGAAGUUUCGUCUAGCAAAAGUUAUAUCCAUCUACUACGUAUAACACUUAUAUAUCUUUUAUUUCAUUGUCUUGUCUGCACUUCUUAACAUGUAUAUACAUGAAAGUAGUGUGAGGAAAUAUUAAUCUGCAUUAGCAUGUGAUUGGUCUCUUCACAUUUGUAGCAUGUGAUCGGUCUCUUUACAUUCGUAGAAAGUCCACAGGUGGAGGCGAGUCAUGGGCUCCCUAGUUGCUACUGCUGUCAAGUUCCACCUAUGUGAUUCGAAAAAAACUUCCACCAAUGUAAUGUGCUACUACUUUGCAUCUUUCCUACUUCCUCCACACUGUUCUUCACAGGUAUGCUUCCCGCCUCUAGUUGGAUAAAAGGUAUAUUCUCUAUUUGUUGUACCAUAUAAUAGCAAGUUAUAUCAAUGAUAUGUGUAGUUAAGACAAACGAAGAAGGUUCACAUGUAUUAACUGAAGUUGGUUCAUGUGUGUUAAUUGAUAUGCAAUAGAUUUUUCGCAUGUGUUGUAGGCGAUGCCUAUAACACUGGAGCUUUUCUCAUUAUUCUCUUCAACUGAAACAGCUGUAGGAUGGAAGAGAUGUUACCAAGAACACAACUCACAAAAGUGCAUGUCUGAAUGUAUUUCAACCUUAUAUACUAAGUGUCCUCCCUAUAUUGAUCAUGUGAUGUAUUCUUUCUCUAUCCCGGUAAACAUAAAUUAGUUGCCUUUCAAUAUUGUAAAAUAUUUGAUGCUUCUCAUAUUUUUCGUCCAAUGAGUUCAGCAAUUUUGCUACCACUGUUAUUGGUGCAGAGUAAAUAUAAUAUGAAAGUUCUUGUUGAAAUUAGUAGAAUAUGCUUUCGAGGUGUUAUAAUUUCUAGAUAUAUACCACAAUUGUCACAGUAAUACUUGUCAGUUCCUUUGUAGUUAGUUUGUGACUAUCACAACAUGUUCAUGUACAUAUUUUUUUUGUAACAGAUCUAUUACAGCUUGUCGUGAAAAGUAAAAUCCUAAAAAAGUCACCGGAAAACUUUAAAGAUAGCAACCCAAAGAAGUUGGGAGACAUAAAUAAUUCAGAUAUGGUACCAUUAUAACUGAUAUGACUCAAUUAUCAGUACAU
RNAcentral lists this long non-coding RNA (1567 nucleotides) under Triticum aestivum (bread wheat). Its description in RNAcentral is "long non-coding RNA (TAES_LNC022206)". The record is from RNAcentral. Lineage: Eukaryota; Viridiplantae; Streptophyta; Magnoliopsida; Poales; Poaceae.